GAAGAAGAAGAGGAGAAAGAAGAAGAAUGUAGACGUGUCCUGAGUGAAGUGACAGUAGCAGAUAUGGCUACAGAGCCCGGCAUCAAUAUGGAGGCGAAAAUAGACGCGAGAGAAAAUCCUUUUGAACCUUAUUUAGACGCUUUAAAGAAGGUGUUAGAAGACCAAGACCCCAUAUUUAUGAUCGGAAUUGUUGUUUCUUUGGCUGUUGUUGUCAUCACUGUUGUGUUAUUGAAGUACAUACUAAGCAGAAAAACUGUCCAAAGUGCUGUGCUGCUGGUUGGUCUCUGCGAUUCUGGAAAGACCCUCCUCUUUAGUCGAUUGUUGUCAGGAAAGUUCAAGAAAACCCAGACCUCCAUCACGGACAGCAGUGCCCCUUACAAAGCCAAAAACGAG
Oncorhynchus masou masou (cherry salmon) is the source of this 393-nucleotide long non-coding RNA. RefSeq lists it as uncharacterized. The transcript has 3 exons. Lineage: Eukaryota; Metazoa; Chordata; Actinopteri; Salmoniformes; Salmonidae. The record is from RefSeq and is a predicted model, not a curated record.